GGGAGAUUGGUGGGUGAGGAACAAAAUGAGGACAGGCAACAGCAACAGAACAAAUCGAGGAAAUCAGGAACAAAAUGAGGAAUAGGGAGAAACAGAACCGAGGGAAGGCCAAGACGAAGGGAGGGGAAGGCAAGAAGAAGAAGAUGGUGAUGGAGAAGAAGGGAAGGGAAUGAAGAAGUCGAUGGGCAGUCAAAACAGGGAAGAAGAUACAUUCUUUGGGCUUAAG
Molecule: unclassified non-coding RNA, 226 nt
Filed under: Hevea brasiliensis (rubber tree)
Lineage: Eukaryota; Viridiplantae; Streptophyta; Magnoliopsida; Malpighiales; Euphorbiaceae
Source: RNAcentral